Molecule: ribosomal RNA, 254 nt
Filed under: uncultured bacterium
Lineage: Bacteria
Description: partial 16S ribosomal RNA
Rfam family: Bacterial small subunit ribosomal RNA
Source: RNAcentral
UACGUAGGGGGCGAGCGUUGUCCGGAUUUAUUGGGCGUAAAGAGCUCGUAGGCGGUCUGUCGCGUCGAAUGUGAAAACCCGGGGCUCAACCCCGGGCCUGCAUUCGAUACGGGCAGACUAGAGUUCGGUAGGGGAGUCUGGAAUUCCUGGUGUAGCGGUGAAAUGCGCAGAUAUCAGGAGGAACACCGGUGGCGAAGGCGGGACUCUGGGCCGAUACUGACGCUGGAGGAGCGAAAGCGUGGGGAGCGAACAGG